Long non-coding RNA from Lineus longissimus, 1879 nucleotides. RefSeq lists it as uncharacterized. Lineage: Eukaryota; Metazoa; Nemertea; Pilidiophora; Heteronemertea; Lineidae. The record is from RefSeq and is a predicted model, not a curated record. The transcript is spliced from 3 exons.
GCCAAGAUGUCAGUCCCAGGGUACUAAGCUUUCACUAAUUUUUGUAUUUCAGCAAGUGAAUUCAGUGAAAAGUGUCCGAAUUGAGAACAAGCAUGCUCGCUAAGACAAAAAGUGACGGAUUUUUGUUCGUAUUGGCAUGGACAGAUGGAGCGAGGCAAAAAAGAGGGGGGCGUAACUCAUUGUAACUGCCAUGGUUUGGUACUUGCCAGGAUCUGGCGCCUGCAUUGAUUGAGGAACUCGCAUGUCCUUAGGUUACUGGUGCAAAGACUGUCUCCACUCUAGCUUCAGCAAAAAGGGUGAUUACAAUUACGAUUUAUCUAUCCAGCGAUUGAGGGACAACUCCAAGACCAUCCCGAUGCUCCGGACAGCCGCUCGCCGGGAGGAGAUCUUUCUGCGCAACACCCGACCAAUAGUAGCACCAACGGGACAUACGAAAUUUCAAGAAGAACACCAUGAUAAAGUUGACAGAAACGCCCACGCUAUACUCGCGAAGUUCGGGGGAUCAGAAAAAAUGCCAGUUAAUGUACCAGGGGAUGGCAGCUGUUUAUUUCAUUCCGUAUCGGUUUCGCUCAGCGGCAGUAUACGGUCGAAGCAGUUACAUACGUGUACGAACCACGAUUGAGAUGGUGAACAACAAGAAGUAGUAUAUGUCACUGCAUGACGAUGACAGUUUGGUUGUCUGAACAACAAAAAUCACAUGAUCAUGCUGAAUGGUCUCGUCUGGUAUUUCUAUCUCAUCAGUGACUUCUUUCAUGUUGAUCCGUAAUUGACUGAAGACCACUGCGACUGCUGAUUUGUCGAAGAUUCGGUACCAUUCAAUUAAGAAUUUUACGAGUUAAUGAGCUUAACUUGAAGACAGUCUGCAAACAAUUUGAAGACGAAAUAUAUGGGAUCUGUACAAAUGUGCCCGAGCAUCUGGAUUGGGUGACUUGCUACCCGCUAAUCAGAUUCCAGCGGUUGACAAAAAGACGUCAAGGACAUCAGACGGAGUCGAUGAUGAUAAGACAGUUCGAAACAGAUGAGAAUCUCCGUGAUUUUGAAGAUUCAGCUGAAUCAAGUUCAUCUGAUUUACUAAACAGUCUUACUCAUAAUGAUUCAUGGUCAUCGAUAGUCAAUCAUACAUACAGAGAGGAGCCAUUAGAAAAGAUGGACAGUGAAGAAAUUGACAUGCUUAAACCUGUGAUAUGAAAACAGUGCUGUAAACAACUUUGUUUUUGCUGCCCUCAAUGUUUGUGAAUGCACCAUUUUGACCUUUUGCUUUCUGUGGCUAACGAUUUGGACUUAAUGAUAUUAGUUUUAGAUUCAGUUUGAAAUUUCGAUAUUUGAUUAAUUGGUAGCAAGUCUGUGUUUUAUAAAUGAACAGUAAAUCAUUUGCUUCCGGGAUUCUUGAGAAUAAGAUUGACCGGGCAUUACGCUCGAGUUAAAUACAUUGUAAAUAGGGCCUGAUUGGAUCGGUCAGAUUCAGGAAGUUGUGUUGGAUUGAAGAAUUUGUGUUCUUAUGGGUGUGGGUGGAGAGAAACUGUAUAUUGUCAUAGUAAUGAAAGACAUACUCUAUCAAUUGUAUUGCUAGGCUUUGCGGCACAUCGGACUUUCCUUCUGCUGCCUCUUGUGUAGGCGGAUAACUUCCGUUUUAAGAAAUAAGUAAUUUGCUGCAGUCUUUACCGAUGGACAGUUGUACGAUUGUAACCCAUUCCUGAAUAGAACAGGGCCUGGUCUCUCCAAAUCUCCCCCACUCCUACCCAUGUUUAGCAUCAAAUAGGAAUCUUGGUUUGAAGUAGUUAGUGUAAAGGUAGAUUCUGAAGUGUAAGGAUCUCACUUACAAGUGAUAACCUCAAAUAUUGUGAACUUUGAUCAUCAUGAAGCUUAAUACAAUCAAAUA